AUUGAACGCUGGCGGAAUGCUUUACACAUGCAAGUCGAGCGGCAGCGCGGGGCAACCUGGCGGCGAGCGGCGAACGGGUGAGUAAUGCAUCGGAACGUACCCCGUCGUGGGGGAUAACUACCCGAAAGGGUAGCUAAUACCGCAUACGACCUGAGGGUGAAAGCGGGGGACCGAAAGGCCUCGCGCGAUGGGAGCGGCCGAUGCCGGAUUAGCUAGUUGGUAGGGUAAAGGCCUACCAAGGCGACGAUCCGUAGCUGGUCUGAGAGGACGACCAGCCACACUGGAACUGAGACACGGUCCAGACUCCUACGGGAGGCAGCAGUGGGGAAUUUUGGACAAUGGGCGAAAGCCUGAUCCAGCCAUUCCGCGUGAGUGAAGAAGGCCUCGGUUGUAAGUACGU
RNAcentral lists this ribosomal RNA (400 nucleotides) under uncultured bacterium. Its description in RNAcentral is "bacterial SSU rRNA". It matches the Rfam family "Bacterial small subunit ribosomal RNA", at positions 29 to 435 of the family's 1533-position model. The record is from RNAcentral.